Molecule: long non-coding RNA, 196 nt
Organism: Oreochromis aureus
Lineage: Eukaryota; Metazoa; Chordata; Actinopteri; Cichliformes; Cichlidae
Exons: 3
Source: RefSeq, a predicted model, not a curated record
CAAAGAGCUUAUUUAUGGAGGAGUCAGCGCGCUUCGAUGGUCUGACCGGAGGACCAGCUGCUACUCCACUCCGUCUAUUCCAAGCUCAGUUCGGAUGUCCGCUUGUGACCUUCAGCUGCACUCUGUUUAAAUUAGCAUCCCAUCUCCAGCACUCCAGCGUGUGAUAACACAUCUGAUCUGAGCCGGCGUGGAGUCA